RNAcentral lists this ribosomal RNA (492 nucleotides) under uncultured bacterium. RNAcentral describes it as "partial 16S ribosomal RNA". It matches the Rfam family "Bacterial small subunit ribosomal RNA", at positions 29 to 507 of the family's 1533-position model. The record is from RNAcentral.
AGUGAACGCUGGCGGUAGGCCUAACACAUGCAAGUCGAACGGCAGCACAGUAAGAGCUUGCUCUUACGGGUGGCGAGUGGCGGACGGGUGAGGAAUACAUCGGAAUCUACUUUUUCGUGGGGGAUAACGUAGGGAAACUUACGCUAAUACCGCAUACGACCUACGGGUGAAAGCAGUGGAUCUUCGGACCUUGCGCGAUUGAAUGAGCCGAUGUCGGAUUAGCUAGUUGGCGGGGUAAAGGCCCACCAAGGCGACGAUCCGUAGCUGGUCUGAGAGGAUGAUCAGCCACACUGGAACUGAGACACGGUCCAGACUCCUACGGGAGGCAGCAGUGGGGAAUAUUGGACAAUGGGCGAAAGCCUGAUCCAGCCAUACCGCGUGGGUGAAGAAGGCCUUCGGGUUGUAAAGCCCCUUUGUUGGGAAAGAAAAGCAGCAGGUUAAUACCCCGCUGUUCUGACGGUACCCAAAGAAUAAGCACCGGCUAACUUCGUG